GAUGAACGCUGGCGGCGUGCUUAACACAUGCCAGUCGAACGGUGAACACGGAGCUUGCUCUGUGGGAUCAGUGGCGAACGGGUGAGUAACACGUGAGCAACCUGCCCCUGACUCUGGGAUAAGCGCUGGAAACGGCGUCUAAUACUGGAUAUGUGACGUGACCGCAUGGUCUGCGUUUGGAAAGAUUUUUCGGUUGGGGAUGGGCUCGCGGCCUAUCAGCUUGUUGGUGAGGUAAUGGCUCACCAAGGCGUCGACGGGUAGCCGGCCUGGGAGGGUGACCGGCCAAACUGGGAUUGAGACACGGCCCGAACUCCUACGGGAGGAAGCAGUGGGGAAUAUUGCACAAUGGGCGAAAGCCUGAUGCAGCAACGCCGCGUGAGGGAUGACGGCCUUCGGGUUGUAAACCUUUUUUAGCAGGGAAGAAGCGAAAGUGACGGUACCUGCAGAAAAAGCGCCGGCUAACUACGUG
RNAcentral lists this ribosomal RNA (469 nucleotides) under uncultured bacterium. Its description in RNAcentral is "partial 16S ribosomal RNA". It matches the Rfam family "Bacterial small subunit ribosomal RNA", at positions 28 to 507 of the family's 1533-position model. The record is from RNAcentral.